ACGAACGCUGGCGGCGUGCCUAAUACAUGCAAGUGGAACGCAUGAUUGAUACCGUAGCUUGCUACACCAUUAAUCAUGAGUCGCGAACGGGUGAGUAACGCGUAGGUAACCUGCCUACUAGCGGGGGAUAACUAUUGGAAACGAUAGCUAAUACCGCAUAAGAGUUUUUAACACAUGUUAGAAAUUUAAAAGGAGCAAAUGCUUCACUAGUAGAUGGACCUGCGUUGUAUUAGCUAGUUGGUAAGGUAACGGCUUACCAAGGCGACGAUACAUAGCCGACCUGAGAGGGUGAUCGGCCACACUGGGACUGAGACACGGCCCAGACUCCUACGGGAGGCAGCAGUAGGGAAUCUUCGGCAAUGGGGGGAACCCUGACCGAGCAACGCCGCGUGAAGUGAAGAAGGUUUUCGGAUCGUAAAGCUCUGUUGUAAGAGAAGAACGUUGAGUAGAGUGGAAAGUUACUCAAGUGACGGUAUCUUACCAGAAAGGGACGGCUAACUACGUGCCAGCCGCCGC
RNAcentral lists this ribosomal RNA (516 nucleotides) under uncultured bacterium. RNAcentral's name for it is "bacterial SSU rRNA". It matches the Rfam family "Bacterial small subunit ribosomal RNA", at positions 29 to 518 of the family's 1533-position model. The record is from RNAcentral.